UUUUUAAACAUAGCAUAAAGUGAUUGGAUCAAGCAAGAAAACCUCCUUGGAAGAUAAGAAGAGAUGAAGCAUGAAGAAAAUGGGCAGAGGAGGUUCAGAAUAUUAAUAAGGCUGGAACAACGUGAUGCUCACAUGGGCAAAGGGAGCCCCGUUAGAGCUGAGGUUACACGAUGCCGAUGCUCCGCAAUUCAUAAAUCUGUACAGAGCAGGCCUUUUCCUGAG
This is a long non-coding RNA of Athene cunicularia (burrowing owl), 222 nucleotides long. RefSeq lists it as uncharacterized. NCBI's taxonomy places the organism in Eukaryota, Metazoa, Chordata, Aves, Strigiformes, Strigidae. The transcript has 3 exons. The record is from RefSeq and is a predicted model, not a curated record.